This 589-nucleotide ribosomal RNA is filed under the name Naganishia albidosimilis. RNAcentral's name for it is "partial large subunit ribosomal RNA". It matches the Rfam family "Eukaryotic large subunit ribosomal RNA", at positions 76 to 664 of the family's 3401-position model. The record is from RNAcentral. Lineage: Eukaryota; Fungi; Basidiomycota; Tremellomycetes; Filobasidiales; Filobasidiaceae.
UCCCCUAGUAACGGCGAGUGAAGCGGGAAGAGCUCAAAUUUGAAAUCUGGUAGCCUUCGGUUGCCCGAGUUGUAAUCUAGAGAAAUGUUUUCCGUGCCGGCCCAUGUACAAGUCCCUUGGAACAGGGCGUCAUAGAGGGUGAGAAUCCCGUCCUUGACAUGGACCCCCGGUGCUUUGUGAUACAUUUUCAACGAGUCGAGUUGUUUGGGAAUGCAGCUCAAAAUGGGUGGUGAAUUCCAUCUAAAGCUAAAUAUUGGCGAGAGACCGAUAGCGAACAAGUACCGUGAGGGAAAGAUGAAAAGCACUUUGGAAAGAGAGUUAAACAGUACGUGAAAUUGUUGAAAGGGAAACGAUUGAAGUCAGUCAUGCUCUUUGGUAUUUAUAUCAUUGAGUGGGGUCAACAUCAGUUUUGAUCGAUGGAUAAAGGCACUAGGAAGGUAGCACUCUCGGGUGAACUUAUAGCCUAGCGUCAUAUACAUUGAUUGGGACUGAGGAACGCAGCAUGCCUUUAUGGCCGGGAUUCGUCCACGUACAUGCUUAGGAUGUUGACAUAAUGGCUUUAAACGACCCGUCUUGAAACACGGGACCA